UACAGAGGUCCCAAGCGUUGUUCGGAUUCACUGGGCGUAAAGGGUGCGUAGGCGGUCGGGUAAGUCUGAUGUGAAAUCUCACAGCUUAACUGUGAAACUGCAUUGGAUACUAUCCGGCUCGAGGAAUGGAGGGGAGACUGGAAUACUUGGUGUAGCAGUGAAAUGCGUAGAUAUCAAGUGGAACACCAGUGGCGAAGGCGAGUCUCUGGACAUUUCCUGACACUGAGACACGAAGGCCAGGGGAGCAAACGGG
Molecule: ribosomal RNA, 253 nt
Filed under: uncultured bacterium
Lineage: Bacteria
Description: partial 16S ribosomal RNA
Rfam family: Bacterial small subunit ribosomal RNA
Source: RNAcentral